CCUACGGGAGGCAGCAGUGAGGAAUAUUGGUCAAUGGGCGCGAGCCUGAACCAGCCAAGUAGCGUGAAGGAUGACUGCCCUACGGGUUGUAAACUUCUUUUAUCAAGGAAUAAAGUGAGGCACGUGUGCCUUUUUGUAUGUACUUUAUGAAUAAGGAUCGGCUAAAUCCGUGCCAGCAGCCGCGGUAAUACGGAGGAUCCGAGCGUUAUCCGGUUUUAUUGGGUUUAAAGGGAGCAUAAAUGGGUUGUUAAGUUAGGUGGGAAAGUUUGCGGGUCAAACGUAAAAUUGCAAUUGAUACUGGCAGUCUUGAGUACAGUUGAGGUAGGCGGAAUUCGUGGUGUAGCGGUGAAAUGCUUAGAUAUCACGAAGAACUCCGAGUGCGAAGGCAGCUUACUAAACUGCCACUGACAUUGAUGCUCGAAAGUGUGGGUAUCAAACAGGAGUAGAUACCCCAGUAGUC
Molecule: ribosomal RNA, 460 nt
Filed under: uncultured bacterium
Lineage: Bacteria
Description: partial 16S ribosomal RNA
Rfam family: Bacterial small subunit ribosomal RNA
Source: RNAcentral